UAUACGGUGAACUGCGAAUGGCUCAUUAAAUCAGUUAUCGUUUAUUUGAUAGUACCUUACUACAUGGAUAACCGUGGUAAUUCUAGAGCUAAUACAUGCUAAAAACCCCGACUUCGGAAGGGGUGUAUUUAUUAGAUAAAAAACCAAUGCCCUUCGGGGCUCCUUGGUGAAUCAUAAUAACUUAACGAAUCGCAUGGCCUUGCGCCGGCGAUGGUUCAUUCAAAUUUCUGCCCUAUCAACUUUCGAUGGUAGGAUAGUGGCCUACCAUGGUAUCAACGGGUAACGGGGAAUUAGGGUUCGACUCCGGAGAGGGAGCCUGAGAAACGGCUACCACAUCCAAGGAAGGCAGCAGGCGCGCAAAUUACCCAAUCCCGACACGGGGAGGUAGUGACAAUAAAUACUGAUACAGGGCUCUUUUGGGUCUUGUAAUUGGAAUGAGUACAAUUUAAAUCCCUUAACGAGGAACAAUUGGAGGGCAAGUCUGGUGCCAGCAGCCGCGGUAAUUCCAGCUCCAAUAGCGUAUAUUAAAGUUGUUGCAGUUAAAAAGCUCGUAGUUGAACCUUGGGCCUGGCUGGCCGGUCCGCCUCACCGCGUGUACUGGUCCGGCCGGGCCUUUCCUUCUGGGGAACCUCAUGCCCUUCACUGGGCGUGCUGGGGAACCAGGACUUUUACUUUGAAAAAAUUAGAGUGUUCAAAGCAGGCCUUUGCUCGAAUACAUUAGCAUGGAAUAAUAGAAUAGGACGUGUGGUUCUAUUUUGUUGGUUUCUAGGACCGCCGUAAUGAUUAAUAGGGAUAGUCGGGGGCAUCAGUAUUCAAGCGUCAGAGGUGAAAUUCUUGGAUUGCUUGAAGACUAACUACUGCGAAAGCAUUUGCCAAGGAUGUUUUCAUUAAUCAGUGAACGAAAGUUAGGGGAUCGAAGACGAUCAGAUACCGUCGUAGUCUUAACCAUAAACUAUGCCGACUAGGGAUCGGACGGUGUUAGUAUUUUGACCCGUUCGGCACCUUACGAGAAAUC
RNAcentral lists this ribosomal RNA (1015 nucleotides) under Cladosporium cladosporioides. RNAcentral describes it as "SSU rRNA". It matches the Rfam family "Eukaryotic small subunit ribosomal RNA", at positions 75 to 1099 of the family's 1831-position model. The record is from RNAcentral. Lineage: Eukaryota; Fungi; Ascomycota; Dothideomycetes; Cladosporiales; Cladosporiaceae.